RNAcentral lists this long non-coding RNA (231 nucleotides) under Lathyrus oleraceus (garden pea). RNAcentral's name for it is "Pisum sativum (pea) long non-coding RNA (PSAT_LNC005205)". The record is from RNAcentral. Lineage: Eukaryota; Viridiplantae; Streptophyta; Magnoliopsida; Fabales; Fabaceae.
UUUGUUCGUUGGGGUGGUGGUUGUUGUUGACGUUGUUGUUAUUAAAUUGGUGUCGACUGAUUGUUAGAAAAUAUUGGUAUCACAAAUGAUACUUGAUGAUGGUGUUGACGGGGUGGUUCAUUUCUUCUUACAUGAAGCCUCCUUUGCCUCCCAACGGACAUUGCAUUAGCUUCACUCUCCUUCUUCUUACCAAAACAAUUGCCAUACCUCUUGUUGGACGAUGCUUCCUCC